GUACAACUCAUGCAUCGAAAAGAACCAUUAAGUUGGUUAAUCACAAGUUCGGAGUCACCGAGGAUGAGGGCACGGGUCGCUCGUAAGUCGAGAAGGAUUCCAAGGCCGAUGAUAAGGGCUUCAUAUUCGGCCUGAUUAUUUGUGCAAUCAAAAUCCAGCUUAAGCGAAAAAUACCAACGAACGUGGUUUGGGGAUUGAAUGACAACUCCCACGCCAGCCGAGGAUGAAGUACUUAAUCCGUCAAAGUACAUCGUCCAGUAGUUAUCGCGCGUUUCAACCAUGCCGAUUUCGACAUCGUUACCUCCAAAACCAUAUGGGGAUGGGUGUUGAGCAAGGAAAUCAGCCAAUGGCUGGCCUUUGAUAGCUUUCUAGGGCACGUAUUGCAAGCUGAAUUCGGACAGUGCCAUUGUCCAUUUCCCAAUUCGACCUUUUACUAUUGGCC
This 442-nucleotide long non-coding RNA is filed under the name Malus domestica (apple). RNAcentral describes it as "long non-coding RNA (MDOM_LNC010757)". Lineage: Eukaryota; Viridiplantae; Streptophyta; Magnoliopsida; Rosales; Rosaceae. The record is from RNAcentral.